GGAGGAGUACCCAAGUGGCCAAAGGGGGCAGACUGUAAAUCUGUUGCAAGUUGCUUCAGUGGUUCGAAUCCACUCUCCUCCA
Molecule: transfer RNA, 82 nt
Organism: Proteiniclasticum ruminis
Lineage: Bacteria; Bacillati; Bacillota; Clostridia; Eubacteriales; Clostridiaceae
Rfam family: tRNA
About the family: Transfer RNA (tRNA) molecules are approximately 80 nucleotides in length. Their secondary structure includes four short double-helical elements and three loops (D, anti-codon, and T loops).
Source: Rfam